CCCUUAGAUGUUCUGGGCCGCACACGCGCUACACUGGCAGGUUCAUCGAGCUUCAUGCCCUGAUCUGAGAAGAACGGGAAAUCUUUGAACACCUGCCGUGCUUGGGAUAGAUGUUUGCAAUUAUUCAUCUUCAACGAGGAUUGCCUUGUAAGCGCACGUCAUCAGCGUGCAUUGAAUACGACCCUGUAUUCUGUACACACCGCCCGUCGCUCCUACCGAUUGAAGUUUUCGGUGAAUUUACUGGGGAUCCCUUUUGAAGGUGGUUCGCCACUGGAAGAAGUAUUCAAAAGUAAAUGAAUCGAAUGCUUUAGAGGAAGGAGAAGUCGUAACA
RNAcentral lists this ribosomal RNA (331 nucleotides) under uncultured eukaryote. RNAcentral's name for it is "partial 18S ribosomal RNA". It matches the Rfam family "Eukaryotic small subunit ribosomal RNA", at positions 1470 to 1796 of the family's 1831-position model. The record is from RNAcentral.